GACGAACGCUGGCGGCGUGCUUAACACAUGCAAGUCGAACGGUGAAGCGCCUUCCUUUUUGGUGGGUGUGGAUGAGUGGCGAACGGGUGAGUAACACGUGAGUAACCUGCCCCCUUCUUCUGGAUAACCGCAUGAAAGUGUGGCUAAUACGGGAUAUUCUGGGUCUGUCGCAUGAUGGGUCUGGGAAAGAUAUUGUUUCGGUGGGGGAUGGGCUCGCGGCCUAUCAGCUUGUUGGUGGGGUGAUGGCCUACCAAGGCGGUGACGGGUAGCCGGCCUGAGAGGGUGGGGGGUUCCAGUGGAGCAGAGCCCGGGCCGAGCCCCCUUCGGGGGGGAGCGGUGGGGAAGUUUGCAGAAAGGGCGCAAGCUUAUUCGGGCGACGCCGGGGGAGGAGUGGGGCCCUUCGGGUUGUGAACCUCUUUGGCCUGUGAAGGAGACCUGCACUGUUUGUGGGUGGGUCAACGGUAGCUGGAUAAGAAGCGCCGGAAAAAUACGU
Molecule: ribosomal RNA, 493 nt
Filed under: uncultured bacterium
Lineage: Bacteria
Description: partial 16S ribosomal RNA
Rfam family: Bacterial small subunit ribosomal RNA
Source: RNAcentral